RNAcentral lists this ribosomal RNA (1010 nucleotides) under uncultured bacterium. RNAcentral's name for it is "bacterial SSU rRNA". It matches the Rfam family "Bacterial small subunit ribosomal RNA", at positions 338 to 1372 of the family's 1533-position model. The record is from RNAcentral.
CCUACGGGAGGCAGCAGUGGGGAAUCUUGCGCAAUGGUCUAACGACUGACGCAGCGACGCCGCGUGUGGGAGGACGCCUUUCGGGGUGUAAACCACUGUUGCCCGGGACGAACAGCCCUUUUCGAGGGGUCUGACGGUACCGGGUGAGGAAGCACCGGCUAACUCCGUGCCAGCAGCCGCGGUAAUACGGAGGGUGCGAGCGUUGUCCGGAAUCAUUGGGCGUAAAGGGCGCGUAGGUGGCCGAGUGAGCGUGCGGUGAAAGCUCGGGGCUCAACCCCGAGUCGGCCGUGCGAGCUACUCAGCUCGAGCACUGUAGAGGCAGGCGGAAUUCCGGGUGUAGCGGUGGAAUGCGUAGAGAUCCGGAAGAACACCGGUGGCGAAGGCGGCCUGCUGGGCAGUUGCUGACACUGAGGCGCGACAGCGUGGGGAGCAAACAGGAUUAGAUACCCUGGUAGUCCACGCCGUAAACGAUGGGCACUAGGCGCUUGGGGGAGCGACCCCCCGAGGGCCGGCGCUAACGCAUUAAGUGCCCCGCCUGGGGAGUACGGCCGCAAGGCUGAAACUCAAAGGAAUUGACGGGGGCCCGCACAAGCGGUGGAGCAUGUGGUUUAAUUCGAGGCAACGCGAAGAACCUUACCUGGGCUUGACAUAAUAGUGGUAGGGAACCGAAAGGGGACCGACCUUCGGGAGCUAUUACAAGUGCUGCAUGGCUGUCGUCAGCUCGUGCCGUGAGGUGUUAGGUUAAGUCCUGUAACGAGCGCAACCCUCGCUGCCAGUUACAAGUGUCUGGCGGGACUGCCGGUGACAAACCGGAGGAAGGUGGGGAUGACUUCAAGUAGCUUGGCUUUAUGCCAGGGCUACAUACAUGCUACAUGGCGUGACAGAGGGAUGCCAGCCCCAGUGGAGCUAUCCCACACGCGGUCGAGUUCGAAUUCCCGCUGUUAUUUGCCGCCCCAGCCGGAGUGCAACAAAGAAGUAUCCCACCCGCGGAACAUUUUCAGGGAUGGGGU